This 21-nucleotide non-coding RNA is filed under the name Callorhinchus milii (elephant shark). The record is from RNAcentral. Lineage: Eukaryota; Metazoa; Chordata; Chondrichthyes; Chimaeriformes; Callorhinchidae. RNAcentral also lists the same sequence under 10 other names.
AGCUGGUGUUGUGAAUCAGGC